GUGAACGCUGGCGGUAGGCCUAACACAUGCAAGUCGAACGGCAGCACAGUAAGAGCUUGCUCUUACGGGUGGCGAGUGGCGGACGGGUGAGGAAUACAUCGGAAUCUACUUUUUCGUGGGGGAUAACGUAGGGAAACUUACGCUAAUACCGCAUACGACCUACGGGUGAAAGCAGGGGAUCUUCGGACCUUGCGCGAUUGAAUAAGCCGAUGUCGGAUUAGCUAGUUGGCGGGGUAAAGGCCCACCGAGGCGACGAUCCGUAGCUGGUCUGAGAGGAUGAUCAGCCACACUGGAACUGAGACACGGUCCAGACUCCUACGGGAGGCAGCAGUGGGGAAUAUUGGACAAUGGGCGCAAGCCUGAUCCAGCCAUACCGCGUGGGUGAAGAAGGCCUUCGGGUUGUAAAGCCCUUUUGUUGGGAAAGAAAAGCAGCAGGUUAAUACCCCGCUGUUCUGACGGUACCCAAAGAAUAAGCACCGGCUAACUUCGUG
RNAcentral lists this ribosomal RNA (491 nucleotides) under uncultured bacterium. RNAcentral's name for it is "partial 16S ribosomal RNA". It matches the Rfam family "Bacterial small subunit ribosomal RNA", at positions 29 to 507 of the family's 1533-position model. The record is from RNAcentral.